Long non-coding RNA from Rosa chinensis, 503 nucleotides. RefSeq lists it as uncharacterized. The transcript is spliced from 3 exons. Lineage: Eukaryota; Viridiplantae; Streptophyta; Magnoliopsida; Rosales; Rosaceae. The record is from RefSeq and is a predicted model, not a curated record.
AUGGAGGUGUCAACAAGUGGUGACAUCUAUAGCUACGAAAUCCUGCUAUUUGAGAUGCUGAUAGGCAAGAGAUUGACAUAUGACAUGUUUAAAGACGGACUGAACUUGCAUAAAUUUGUCAAAUAAGGCUUUGGCCUCCUUAUCCUAUUGGACGGUGAUCAGAGCUGAGUCUUCUAGCCAUCCCAGCCAGCUUUUGAGCAAGCACUUGGAGCCUAUUAUUGAAGAGGAGCUUUUGAACGAGCACAUGGACACUAUUGAAGAGUGUACGACUCGGCUUUGAUUAUCCAACAAGAUGCUACCAGUCUACUUUGUUCUUAGGAUUUUAUGAUCUGUACCUAAAAUUAUGCCUGACCGGGACGGCUAGAAGACUCGGCUCUGAUCAAGAUGCUACCAGUAGACUUUGUUUGUGGGAUUUUAUGAUUUUUACUAAUUUUGAAUGCUAUGGAAACUUUCUAUCAUGUCAUUGAAAUUUUUUUUUUUGAAUCAAGAUGUCCAGCUUCGAA